GAGUUUGAUUAUGGCUCAGGACGAACGCUGGCGGCGUGCCUAAUACAUGCAAGUAGAACGCUGAAGGAAUAGCUUGCUAUUCUGGACGAGUUGCGAACGGGUGAGUAACGCGUAGGUAACCUACCUCAUAGCGGGGGAUAACUAUUGGAAACGAUAGCUAAUACCGCAUAAGAAUACUUAUUGCAUGAUAAGUAUUUAAAAGGAACAACAGUUUCACUGUGAGAUGGACCUGCGUUGUAUUAGCUAGUUGGUAAGGUAACGGCUUACCAAGGCGACGAUACAUAGCCGACCUGAGAGGGUGAUCGGCCACACUGGGACUGAGACACGGCCCAGACUCCUACGGGAGGCAGCAGUAGGGAAUCUUCGGCAAUGGGGGCAACCCUGACCGAGCAACGCCGCGUGAGUGAAGAAGGUUUUCGGAUCGUAAAGCUACUGUUGUCAGCCAAGAAUGUAUGUGAGAGUGGAAAGUUCACAUAGUGACGUACGAC
This 488-nucleotide ribosomal RNA is filed under the name Streptococcus sp. canine oral taxon 279. RNAcentral's name for it is "bacterial SSU rRNA". It matches the Rfam family "Bacterial small subunit ribosomal RNA", at positions 9 to 480 of the family's 1533-position model. The record is from RNAcentral. Lineage: Bacteria; Bacillati; Bacillota; Bacilli; Lactobacillales; Streptococcaceae.